GCGCAGGCGGGUUUGUUGCUUUUGGGGCUUUGUGCGGUCCUCGCCGCAUCGGAGGAGCCAUAUGUGGUGUACGAAAACGGGGCAACAUCUGAAAGGAAUCUUCGAUUGUGCGUUGGCCCGAGGGAAGCCUGCAAUGUGGUGCGACAACGAUUCUGGUUGUCGCCUAUUGUCCACAGACUAUGCAAAUGUCCUGAUCUCACAGAGUGCCCUGCUGAAUGGACACAUUUCCCUAACAAGAGAACGGUUGCAAUUAAUGCAAGAGCACAGCUAAAAUUAACAACUUGCAAGAGAAAUGAAUUCUGCGGCCACAUAACAACUACUUCAUAUGAAACCUAUCAUACAUGCAGAUGUCCAGCCAGACACAUCUGCGUAUUUCAAGACAGAAAAAAAGUAGAAGCUCAGGAGUUUCUUUAUGAAGGUUUA
Long non-coding RNA from Uloborus diversus, 423 nucleotides. RefSeq lists it as uncharacterized. The record is from RefSeq and is a predicted model, not a curated record. NCBI's taxonomy places the organism in Eukaryota, Metazoa, Arthropoda, Arachnida, Araneae, Uloboridae. The transcript is spliced from 3 exons.